CCCACUACCCUAGUCUUCGGAUCGGAGGAAUUCUCGUAGCUCAGAAAAUAAAUUUAGCAGGAAGGCCCAGAUCUGUCUCGUUAUUAUAGGGGAACUGAACAAGUUGAUUCCCAUAAGUAUUUCUCACUGUUCCCCUAUAGGUCGGCACCCUGUUGCCCAAAUGUGAUUCACGGUACAUACGAACAGGAUAUAAUAUCUGAGCUUGUUCGUAUGUACCAUGAAAACAUGAGUUUUCUAGUUCCGACUUCAGGAAGAUCACGGAGUAUAUAUUCGAAGGCAUCGCCGGAAGCUUGACUGAGUGUAGC
RNAcentral lists this long non-coding RNA (305 nucleotides) under Manihot esculenta (cassava). RNAcentral describes it as "long non-coding RNA (MESC_LNC004057)". Lineage: Eukaryota; Viridiplantae; Streptophyta; Magnoliopsida; Malpighiales; Euphorbiaceae. The record is from RNAcentral.